GCCCGGGUGGCUCAGUCGGUUGAGCAUCUGACUUCGGCUCAGGUCAUGAUCUCACGGUCUGUGAGUUCGAGCCCCAUGUGGGGCU
RNAcentral lists this transfer RNA (85 nucleotides) under Felis catus (domestic cat). It matches the Rfam family "tRNA". From Rfam's summary of the family: Transfer RNA (tRNA) molecules are approximately 80 nucleotides in length. Their secondary structure includes four short double-helical elements and three loops (D, anti-codon, and T loops). Lineage: Eukaryota; Metazoa; Chordata; Mammalia; Carnivora; Felidae. The record is from Rfam by way of RNAcentral.